Molecule: long non-coding RNA, 200 nt
Filed under: Homo sapiens (human)
Lineage: Eukaryota; Metazoa; Chordata; Mammalia; Primates; Hominidae
Description: SLC8A1 antisense RNA 1
Source: RNAcentral
CUCACUCUGACCUUCCUCCCUACAAAGUUGUGUGCUUCUCCUUUUCCUUAUGCCAUGAUUGUUAAGUUUCCUGAGGCCUCCCCAGCAAUGCAGAACUGUAAUUAUCCAGUUGAUAUUUAUCUUGUUCCAGUCACCUUUAGAAAGCUGUUUGGCAAGGGCAGUGACUGGAAGCUGGGAGAGAGGGUCAACAGCUGAAUCUC